AUAGUUAGUUUUACAUGCAUGGGUUUGAUUGUGGGACUCCCUUGUUACAAAUCGUUCUUGGUCUACGCUCUUGGACUUUGCUAUUACGUUAUAUGUUCGAUUUGGAAUUUGAAUGACAAGUACAUAAAUUUGAAAGUGUUGCUCUUUAAUGAAUGCGAAAAACAACAAAAAGGCCUUGGUGAUGCUCCAAUACUCUUUAUUAAAAACAAGAAAAUGAUACCAAAAGAACUCUACGAAAUUGUGUGCAACAAGCAUAUUCCAUUGAAGAAAACCAUUUCAUCGUCAAUAUUUCAACUUGGAAAGUGGAUCGUUUUUCUCACAUUUGUAUUUGUAUCGGUGGUUGCAGUCGGGAAGUGGACCAACAUUCCAUCAAUUACAGAAGCUAUCUUCAUGUUCUGGAUUACCACACUGCCAAAACUGAUAAGCAAGUAUAAACCUGCUGGUUGGUCUUCGUUCAAAAAGAAGGAAGAUCUGUAUUCAAUAGAGGACAUUGUUUCCCAGUAUGUGAGAAAAACGUGCGUCGUAACAUGGGAACCAACGAGGCUUAACUCAUAGACCUUUUAGCUGGACAUAUGAACCUCAUUGUAAUGCACAGUAUAAAUAUAAAUGUCUGCACUUACAACGAUAAUCAGAGACAACAGUCAACUGACCAAAGUGCAAAGAAUAUAAACUAUAAUGACAACAAGUAGAAUAAAAACAGUUUAUGCAGUGGCGGACACUAGGGAUGAGGCAGGGGUAGAAAAACCGCCCCGCACCCACCCCCAAUAAUAUCUGCAUGCCUUUGAAUAAUAGCAGAGUAAUUGCAUGACAAAAUGUUACGAUAAUUUUUCAACCAUGAAAGCAUUCGUAUGCCAUAAAUUAAGCUACUUAUUGCAUGAAAUUUAAGGCAACAAUUUCCAACAACAGGUGGUAAUAUGUUGACAACCUAAUUCCCCCCGCCUCCCCCCUCACGAUUUCGCAAAGUGUCCGCCACUAUAUGCGUGCAGUGUAGUAAAAUAUUGACAUUGAUUGAUUAGCAUAAAUUAGGAAACAAACGAACACAUGUUUCCAUAACAUUGAAAGUACGGGGAUAAAAAAGACAAAGUUGAGAUAGUAUAGCGAACGUAGUUCAAGUAAUAAUUUUUUAUAUUAAUGUAAAUUUUUGAGAAAGUAAAGAAUGAUGUUCAAUCAAGAGAAAAUUACAACGCAUGCAAGUGGGGAUCCGCCUCGUGUUGUGAGGAAAGCAAGUAAAGAAAAAGUUCUGAUCAUGAAUUAUUAGUUUGCAAUGUAGUAUAAUAACUUUUAUGUUAAUAAUAAGUGAACCGU
This is a non-coding RNA of Paramuricea clavata, 1305 nucleotides long. Lineage: Eukaryota; Metazoa; Cnidaria; Anthozoa; Malacalcyonacea; Plexauridae. The record is from the annotation of a GenBank genome assembly.